AGCUUCUCCCAGCCUGCCUGAGGUUUUGUCAAUGGUUUCGGUAAGCGUUUCAGAGGCAGGAAGCAUCCGUAUCUACCUGAAAAUGAAACUGUCAGUAACUAGAGCGAGACUGAUAUUAGGGUCUUAGAGAUGAGAAGGCGACAGAGUAAAACUAUUCUUUAUAUGCCUCUGUGGGUGCAGCGCCUCAAUCACAGGCCGCAGGAAGCUGAUGAAGCAAUUAAGACAGACCAAACCCUCACAUGCAGUCAAGACCUUCGGACUGUGCAAUUCAAAUACGUUUCAUAAGAGAUGCAUUUUGACAUCCGGGACAAAAACCUUCUCCAGAGUGCUAAGGACCUCAGACUGGGCCG
Polypterus senegalus (gray bichir) is the source of this 350-nucleotide long non-coding RNA. RefSeq lists it as uncharacterized. The record is from RefSeq and is a predicted model, not a curated record. The transcript is spliced from 3 exons. Lineage: Eukaryota; Metazoa; Chordata; Cladistia; Polypteriformes; Polypteridae.